This 10899-nucleotide long non-coding RNA is filed under the name Lynx pardinus (Iberian lynx). The stretch from base 3893 to 4220 matches the Rfam family "7SK RNA". The record is from RNAcentral. Lineage: Eukaryota; Metazoa; Chordata; Mammalia; Carnivora; Felidae.
UUGGCUGGCAAAGGGAGUGGCUGGGUGGCCUAGUUUUGUAGAAGAAUAACCAGGGAGGAGAAAGGGUAACAUCUCUAACCUGGAGCAGUUGUGACAAACCAUUAGAAACGUCUCAACUCUAUCCCUUUGGAGAGAAUGUGUUUUCAUGGUCAUAUUUUUAUUCUUGUUUAUAAAAAUCAGUUUUUCCCAACUCAGUAUCCGAAACCUGGGCUUCAGAUUCAGACCCAAGUGUGAGUUCUGGCUCUUCCCCUUCAAGCUGUGUGAUCUUGGGCAAGUUACUUUAUCGAAUUUUCUUGAUAGGGAAACUAACCCUACUUCAUGCUGUCGCUGGGAGAGCCAAAUGUGAUGAGUGCAAGUCGUACGGGCCUGGCCCAAAGCAAGCGUUUGAGAAACAGUAGCUCUAAUUAAUAAACAUAUCUACAGUGUAGGAGAUUUGAAACUCUGGUUGCUUAUUUGUGGAUAACUUUCUCUCUUUUAGCGUCUCCCGUUUGGGAAUUACAGCCAUGCGUAUGGAUCAUUGAAACUAUAGGUUUCCACGUGCAAAAAACAAACCAGGUGGGGUAUGUGGGGGCCCAGGUUGCUGGAGAAAUUCCAGGCUAUGUUUAGCCUUCUGAGAUAAAACACGAGGGCAUUUAUUUUUAAACACAUCUAAGGUGUUUUCCAACACCAAUAAGGAAAGAGGAAUCAAAACUGAUGCCUAGUGGUUCUGACAGUUAUUCCAUUAUAGUGCAGUUAUGGCCACAGAGGUGAUGUGUUGGCUCCCAGCUGAGGAGUAUUGUAUGUUCGAAGCAGCAAUGGAGUAACUCAAUUCCAAUGAAACCCAAGUUUGGUGAAGCAAUGAGAAGGCUAUUCAUCGUGACCAACCUUUAGAGAAACUGGCCUCGCCUUCUGGGGAAACAUGUCUUACGUUUCAAGCAUGUGUAAUGGCCUGGUUUUGCAACAUGGUGUUAGUUCAGAAAGUAUGCUAAGGAUGCAGCCUUCUCAGCCCUCUCUAAAACUUGUCAGCCUACCUCUUCUUGAAACCCCCAGUGCCCUCCUCUCUUUAGGUGUCUUCAUCUGAACUCUUCUUAGAGGGAGUGCUGAGUGAUUGGAGAGAUGUGCUUGGGGCACCUUCUCCUGCUUUCCAUGGGGGACCCCAGGCUUCUGGCUAUGCUUUUCUCAGGCAGUUGGGACCUAAGCAGCCUCAUGGGUCUCCCCUCCCUACCACCACUCACUGCUCCCAAACUGUUCUCCUUCCACUGACUUAUCAAGCUUUACCUGUCCCCUGUUCCAUUUUUUUGGCGGACCCUGAACGAGCAACCUGGUACCCUAGUAGAAAGCUCCAGGAAAGCUUCAUUAGAAUUGAAUAUAUGCAUUCAGCCAUUGGCACUGGCCUAAGGUAAGUAAUAGUGACUUCUUCCCCACAGAUAACAUUUCCUUUCCGCCAGACAGAUUUGGUGCCCUUUCCCAUGUGGACUCAGGCCACCUUUUAGUUCCAGCUGUUAUUGUGGCAACACCUGUACCCGGAUGUAGCCUGGCAGCCCCUUUCCUCCGGCCUCAGGGCUUCCCCCACCCCACGGCCAGUGGGAGCCAGCCCAGCCAUGCCCACACACAUGCAUGUCCGCGUGGGCACGCACACACAUACACGCACAGACCUGGAGGUGUGCUGGAGUCAACACUCCAACUUUGACCAAUGGAGACAAGAGCCCAUGGGUAAAACUCCCCUCUCCCAUGUCUUUCACUCUCCCUCUCCCCUCUCCCGUGUUCCUCAGAAGCUCCGCCUGAGGGACUGACCCAUGUGACCACAGUGGUAGCCAGUUCCCAAAUGCACCCCUGGAUUGCCUUUCCCUUCCUCCUUGUUUUGUUUCCUGGUCCCCCCACUCUAGAUCCUGGGGUUUACCUCUCAAAAUAAACUACCUGCACAUAGGCCCUCAUCUCAGGCCUUCCGUUUUGAGAGAACCCAAGGCAAAACAUCCUUUCUAACAGAGGACUUCUUAAGACCCUCUUAAUCUAAGACAAUACAUGUCCACAGGUAGAAUCUCUGGGCUGUGGGGUAUUUGUUGAGAGACAGUACUCCUCCUCUCCCCUCCCAUCGUUAUCUAGCCAUAAUCGCUUAUGGCUUUUGUCAUGUUCGAUUGUCAUGGCCUGCUUAUGUUUGUCUCCCAACACACCGAAUUCAGGGACGGCAUCUCCUCUAUCUCCAUGUGCCCAGCACCAAAUCUGGCAUGAAGUUGGUGCUUAAUAAACAUAUUCUUCCUUUCUCUUUUUCUUUCUUUCUUUUUCUUUCUUUCUUUCUUUCUUUCUUUCUUUCUUUCUUUCUUCUUGUUUAGAUUUAUUUAUUUAUUUAUUUAUUUAUUUAUUUUGAAAGAGAGAGCAAGCGGGGUAGGGGCAGAGAGAGAGAGAUGGGAGAGAAAGAAUCCCAAGCAGGCUCCACACCACACAGCCCAAUGUGGGGCUCGAACUCACAAACCGGGAGAUCAUGACCUGACCAAAACCAAGAGUUGGAUGCUUAACCAACUGAGCCACUCAGGCUCCCUUAAUAAACGUAUUCUUGAUGGAUGGAAGAAUAAAUGAAUGAGUGAAUGCAAGAGAACCAUGGUUGUUCCCUAACACUUAUCAUAGUUAAUUAUUCACUCUACCUAAACCACAUCUACAUCCCCCCAAAUACAAACGCGAUAUAAUAUAAAAUGAUCUAACAGAAUUAAGGGACAUUUCAGGGGGGGAAAUGCUCACUCGCACACACACAAGGAAUGCUUUGUCAUUCCUGUGACUCUCCCCCUGUCAUCAUUCUGGAGACUCUUGUUUUGUAGCCACUGAGAACUGACCCCAACUUGAUCCCUUUUUUCUGCCUUCCUGGGUGAUCUUUUAGAUAUAAUUUGGAUCUGCAUAGACUUCCCUUCAGAGAUUCCUCCAGGGGAUAAGGCAGUCAUAUCAAAAACUUCAGGUCUUCUAUGAGUUUUUAGGAUCACUCAGAGCUGGGGUGACAAGGCUCAUAAUCCCCAUAUUUUACCUGGAUCCCUAUAGUAAAAGACGAAGCCAUCUUGGCACCAAGAAGAGAAACUCAUCUUGAAAGGCAUCUCAGGGUGCCAGCAAGCUCUGUUCAAAUUCCGUUACCCUCUCUCUGCACUUCCUGUGCAACUGUGAUGAUUUUUCUCUGCGACCUGUAUAUUCCACUUGUGGUGAUGCUGAGCCCGGCAGGAGGGGAGGCAGGACCUCUGUGGGAGAAUGUAGUGAGAGUGAUCACACACCCCUCUGUAGCCAGGAAGGCUCAGCACCUUUGUUCCUGCAGCUGGAAGGCAGAUUCUCUCAGUAGCUUAAGUGGAGUCUUAAAGCCUUACUUACUAUAAAACAUUUGAAACAAUCGCAAGUUUGUACAUCAUCUUAUUUUAAAUUUAGUUCCCCAUUUAAAUGAGAAAUUAAGCUCUUAGCAAUGUCUGCAACAAAAGUAGUAGUUGUAGCAGACUUAAGUAAGUUUAAUAUUGUCUUGCGAUCAGCCAUGACUUAUCGGUUAGGAUGCUUUUGGUUGCAAGUAACAGAAACUCCAGAUCAAACCAACUUGAACAAUAAGAAAUCUAUUCUCUCACAUAACAGAAAGAAAAGAGGUACAUUUCCCGGGCUGGUUGAGUCAGCAGCUCAAAGAUGUCAUCAAGGACCCAAGUUUUCUUUGCUCCACCAUGUUAAGUGUUGGCUUCACCUUUGGGAGUGAGAAAGUUGUAGCAGUCAGUCCCAAGCUUCACACCCAGACCCCAUAAUCCAGAGGAAAAAGAGAGACUACCUCGUCUAGUGGUUCCUUUUAGGAGAAAAGAAACAUUUCCCAACGCUCCCCCACCCCAUCUGAUUUUAUCUUGUAUCUCAUAUCUAGAAGAGGGUCUUAGCUUGAGCUAAAUUAUGCUCCAGUAAGAAAUAAUCCCCAGGAUAUGAGGACGAGCUGGCUGUGACAUCUGUCACCCCAUUGAUGGCCAAGGUUGAUUUGGCUGAUCUGGCUGCCUAGGUGGGUGUCGCCUUCCUCCCUUAUGGCUCCAUGUGUGUCCCUCCCAAAGCUGCCCACUCACCUGUGCUAGAGGGCAACCUUCCCCAAGUAGAGGAGGAUAUUUCUUCAGUCAAUGGUGUUCAGGUAACUCCUCUGCUAGAACCUCCAAACAAGCUCUAGAGGUCCAGUUUUAGAAGGUGGGGUCAGUCAAGCUUCUGAGAUUCCAGAUACCUCCAAAUGACGUGCUGCAUGUGGCAGCCUGCCUUUCUCUAAAAGAAAGAGAGGAAGGAAGGAAGGAAGGAAGGAAGGAAGGAAGGAAGGAAGGAAGGAAGGAAGGAAGGAAAUAAGGAAGAAAAGGAGGGAGAGAGGGAAGGAGGACCCCCAAAUCUCGCUGGUUUCACACAGCAAACGUUUACUUUUUGCUUCAUGCAAAGUGUGCCAUGAGUCCAGAGACUUUCCAGGAUGGUGAUCUCCUUGGGUUGGCUCAGAAAUCUUGUGGUACCUGCAUGUCCAAACAUUCUUUCACAGUUGCUGUGUCAGAGGAAGAGAGUGGUGGAAGGCCUUGGUGCAACAAUCUAAUGUUGAACCCUGGAAUGAUACUUGUCACAUUAGUUCAUGGCCCAUUAGUUAUAUGGCCCCAUCCAUUUGCAAGUGGAUGGAGAAGCGUGAUCUUCCUAUGUCUUAGGGAUGGACUGUAGAACCAAAUAGGGAGGGUGCUGGAAAGUCUCUGUCACUGUGCUCAGUACUGAUGAAUAGCUUGCAAGGGGGUGGGAGAGUGAUGAGCAGUGUUGUAAGAUUAGGCUGAUCUAAAACAGGAUGGAUGUUGGGGACUGAACCAUAAAUCUACCCCAGGUGGUUUGAAUAUUAAGAAGACAACAAAUAUAAACCUUUGAGACUCUUGGCAAAUGACACAGAAAUCAGAGAGCAGGUCGUUCUGGGUUGACCAUGUAUUGAUUACUCAAUUUUUUUUAUUUGAUUAUAAGAGAAAAGAAUGACAAUUCCAGUAACCUGUGUUAGAAUCUCACCUGAACACAUCACCACCCUCUACCUGAAAAGUCCCAUCUGCUUAAACAAUUCAAAUUGGGAGAUACAGGGGCGCCUGGGUGGCUCAGUCGGUUAAGCAGCCGACUUCGGCUCAGGUCAUGAUCUUGCGGUCCGUGGGUUCGAGCCCUGCGUCGGGCUCUGUGCUGACAGCUCAGAGCCUGGAGCCUAUUUCAGAUUCUGUGUCUCCCUCUCUCUGACCCUCCCCCAUUCAUGCUCUGUCUCUGUCUCAAAAAUAAAUAAACGUUAAAAAAAAAAAUUUUUUUUUUAUAAAACAAAUUGGGAGAUACAGAUUUUUUUACAUCAGGGUUGAUUUGGACUUCACAACUGAAUAUUUGAGAGCCCAUAAAAUAUGCUUUUCAACCCUGCAGAGCUAUCUCUAUUAAUUAAAACUCAGUUACAUGGCUAGUGAUCACACCCAGUCCUGGAUAUAAGAAACAAGUGGGUGGGCAACUUUUGGAAGCUCUUUUUUCCUAUAAAACCAAACCUAGGACACUGUAAAGGGUUUUUCGGGUUCCCUCAAUUUCUCAAAAUGGGACUUGCCUACUCUAAAAGGUAGUGUCGGCCUCAUUUUUGAAAACUUCUUUAACCCUCUUGCCCAUCCAGUGACCAGCUGCAUUAAAAUUCUUUAGAGAGGAGCAGCCCUCAGUCAUCGGUUGAGCAUCAGGCUUCAUCUCAGGUCAUGAUCUUGCAGUUCAUGAGUUCAAGUCCUACAUCAGGCUCUGCACUGUCAGUGCAGAGCCUGCUUGGAAUUCUCUCUCUCUGCCCCUUCCCCACUUGCACUCUCUCUCAAAAUAAAUAAAUACACUUUAAAGUAAAUAAAUAAAUUCCUUAGAGAAUUUUAAAACCUUGCACAAACAGGGGAAAAAAAGGUAAAUAAAUGGAUAAAUAUAAAUAUAUAAAUAAAUAUAUACAUAGAAGCAGCUCAAGUUUGGAGAUUCUGCUUGAAUAGCUGUAGUAUGUGGUGCUGGAAUCUGGAUUUUUCUAAAGUAUCCCAAGUAAUCACGACCCAGUGCCAGGUUUCGCAUCACUGCAAUCUGUCAACAGGUAAAGGGCCCCCCAUUGACGUUGUUUUUUUCUGCACCUGAUCGUUACUUUAUGGAACAAAUAACAGUUCUCCUUAGCUUGUUAGGGAAAACAAAGUGACGUUUAUUGAGCCUAAUAGAAUGAUAAAUCCAGUCUGCAGGCACUUUAUUGUGUCUACAAUUAGUUAUUUUGUUUGUUGGUGCUUUUCUGAUAAGCUGGAUGAGGAUAUCUCCAAAGGAAGCAUGGACACUUUUUUCUGAUUUGACUCCUUAUAGGAUAACUUUUAAUGUAAGUGAGCCUGUUUUUAAUAUAGUUGUCUCUCCUCAUAUGCAGAAGUGUUUGCUAGUGUUCAUUGCUUGCCACUUACCGUGGCAAAUAUUGGAUGAUAGAAAACUUGCCUCCACUCUCUGCACCUCAGUUUAUUCAUCUGUGAAGUGGACGUAACAGUAGCAUCUAUUGCAAGAGGUUGUUACAAAGCAAACAAGACAGAACAGAGAACCGAGAAACAGACUCACGCAGAUACGCCCAAUGGAAUUUUGACACGGUUGCGGAAGAAACUGAACAGAGGAAAAUGGCUUUUUCAAGUUUCCGGUGCUGAAGCAAUUGGACAUCCUUUCGGUGUGGGGCCCCGGGCGGUGGGGGAAGACCUCCCUUAGUCUUGCAUCAUAUACAAAAAUGCACUCAAAACAGAUUGUGGCCUUAAAUGGAAAAUGGAAAGCUAUAAAACCUUUAGAAACAAACAUAAGGAAAAAAAGCUUGAGGAUCUAGGGCUAGCAAGUUCUUACAGCUGACACCAAAAGCAUGACCCAUAGAAGGAAAAAUAGAUAAAUUGGACUUUCUCAACAUUGAAAAGUUUGCUCUGCAAAAGCAAAACAAAAAAGCCCGUGAACACAAUGAAAAGCAAAGCUACAGACUGGGAAAAAAUAUCUCAAGUUGUGUACUAAUAAAGACUAGUAAUGUACAAUAUAUAAAACUCAAAAACUCAAAACUCAAGAGUAAAAAAAAAAAUCCAAUGGAAAAUGAGCAAAAGCUGUGAAGAGACAUUUCAUCCAAAAGUAGGUAGAAACUGUAAGAAGCACAUGAAAAUAUGUUCAACCUCAUUAGGGAAAUGUAAAAUAAAACUACAAUGAAACAUGGGUACACACCUAGCAGAAAGACUAACAUAAAAAAAUAGUGACAAACCCAAUGUGGGUGAGGACGUGGAAAAACUAGAUCGCUCGUGCAUUCGUCGUGGGAAUGGAAAACAGUCUGGCAAUUGCUUAAGAAAUUAAACGUGCAACAAUCAUACAACCCAAUAAUUACUCCUGGGCAUUUAUCCCAGAGAAAUGAAGACUUACAUUCACACACAAACCUGUACAGGAAUGUUUACAGAAGCUUUAUUUCUAACAGCCAAAAGGAAACAACCCAGAUAUCCUUUACCAGGUGAGUGGGUAAAAAAAAUGGCACAUCCAUACCACGGGAUGGUCCUCAGCACUAAAGGAUCAUGAACUACUGACACAUGAAACAACCUGGAUGAAUCUCCAUAAAAUUACACUGAGUGGGGGAGAAAAACCCCACAAAAGAUUCUGUGCUGCAUAAUUCCAUAUUAAUGACAAAUGUAUAGAAACGGAGAACAGACUAGUGGCUGCUAGGGGUUACAGAGGAGAGGGGGUGAGAGGGAAGUAGGUGUGUCUAUAGAAGGACAACACGAGGGACCCAGGGGUGAUGGAAAUACUGUGUAUCUUGACUGUAUCACUGUCAGUAUCCUGGUUCUGACAUUGCUCUUGGAGGAUAUGACUGCUGGGAGAAACUGGAUAAAGGAUGCCCAGGCUCUCUCUUAUUUCCGACAGUGACAUGUGAAUCUACAAUCAUCUCAAACUAAAAAGUUUCACUGAAAUAAUCAAAUGAGUUAAUAUCCAUGACAGACGCAUAGUAAGUCUUUAGUACAUCUUAGCUGUUACUAAUUGCACUUUCCUGCAGUCACUUGGUACAACUUCCGUUUUGUCCAUCUGUCCCUUCUGAAAUACCAUGCAGCAAUGGUACAGCGGUGACACAGUGGCAGCUGGAGUCACCCUCAACUUCUCACCCCAACUCUGAUAGUCAUGAAUCAGCCGUGUGACAUUAGGCGAGAUAAAAAUCUUUCUCCUGCCUUCUUUUCUUCAGAAAUGAGGAUACUAAAUCCCCCUCUACCCCUCAUCAUGGGGCGUUUAGGUUUGUUUGCUUGUUUAAGAAUCAAAUAGAUGAUGUACAGGGAGGGAGGAAGCUUUGAAAACUGUUAAGUGCUACCAAAAUGCUACACAUUGCACAUACGCUUAUUAAAUACCUCGUACUCCUCUACUACCGCUAUUACUAAUAAAUAUGACCAUUUACUCGCUUGAAACCCUAGUUGGAAUUUGGCAUGCAAAUUUCCUGAGUGUUGCUCAUUUGCAUUGGAAAAAAGGAAAGAGGUGGGAGGCCUUUUGAAGCCUUUUGAAAAUUGAGCUCAGGGGGGGAUGAAUUCUUAUCACUGGGCCCAAGGUAUAAUUGAUUUUCUACACAAUGGCUCACAGGUGCUACAUUUAACACCCUGAGUAGUAGGAGGAAGGAAAUGUAUCCCAAGGUGCAGCUUUAACUUAAAAUAUCUCCAGAGUCAGCACCUCCACUCGGGAAGGCUGAGGAGCCUGGGGGCUGGGGUACCCCACCUUUCCUCCAGUUGUCUGAAUGCGCGGAGGGAGACACCUGCUCCUCACUUACUUCUCACCCCACUCAGAGAAUUGGGCCUCAGGUUUCUUAUUUUCAGUGGCCAGAUGCCAACAGCCCCUCUUUUCAGGCCUGGCUCACAAGGUUAGGGAAGAACACAGGGCAAGCCCACCAUGAAAUACAUAUUAAUAUUAUAACAACCCUUUCAGAAUUCACUGUUGCUAUGUCAACAAAGCAGCUGGGGAAAUUGGGUCUUUGGGAAAUUGGGAAAUGAGGUCGGCUUUGGCAACAUGGCAAAUAUUUCCUUCUCUCAGAACAAUUGGUCUGUGACACCAGCCAGCCUUUUUCUACCUACCCUUUCUCCUGCUUAUUUGUGGGAAACUGAGAAGCAAAACAGUGGUCAUUAAGAUUUGGGGUUAGGGAGAUUCUGCGUCAUGGAAAAAGUGACAGAAAUAAAAAUUAUUUCCCUCUCCCCCUCGUCGCCUGUUUAUGUCAGUUUCUCGGUCCCAGCUUGGACGCCACCGGACUGAACGUGGAUGCUGUACCCAGCUCUGUGACUUUAGAUGAAUUACUGACCUCAUCGUAGUCUCAAUUACCUCGUCUUAUGAAACAAAGGUAUAUUCGUAAGGCCCGCUACACAAUUUGUGGGGCUCAAUACAAGGUAAAAAUGCACGGCCCCCUAUUCAAAAAUUAAGGAUUUCAAGAUGGCGACAGCAGAACAUUAAACCAAGCACAGUGCCUUUGUAAGGACAGGCCUCAUGUGAAGGCCCAGGUCUCAGACCCAUGAAGCUGGCCCUAUGUAUCAGUUAUGACUCCAGGCUCACAAAUGAGAGAAGUCAAGUCACACUCCUUCCUCAGAAAGAUAACUUAACAGAUGGUUACCGUGGUGUCGUGGAAACCAAAGGAGAGUUGAACAAAUGAGGGGUCAUCCCCCAGCCUGGUGGAAAAGCAGAGCCCAGGCACCUCCUGAGUUUUCUGUGCCAUAGCUUCAGCCACCAGAGAGACUCGCUGACUUGUUCUCGUGGUCUCCUGGAUUAAGUGAGGUGCCCACUGUAGACCAAUCAACCCUGAAUGGGGGCCCAGGUAAAUUUCAGAGUAGAAAUUUACCAGAGUAGAGGUCCGGCAGGUAAUCCCACAGCUGCCCUUGGUGUUAUGUAAGAACAAAGAUAGCAGAUUUCACCUCACUGCUGCCACAGGUCUAUUGGUUAGCAGCUGCCUAGACAGCGGGGUAGACAAGGUGCCUGGGGCCACACUGGACUCUCUCGAAGGCAGGCCAUCAUGCUGUCUCCCAUGAGGAGGGUCGGCCCAGGUGCAUGCACGUGCCAACUGUGGACAAGAUUCUGUGAGCUCAAAAUUUUCUUACAGCCCUCACAUUCUAGAGUAUUUCCUCUCUGCUCCUGCUCAUCCCCAAAAUCAACUUUCAGGAAGCCUUCAUGUGUAGGGAUAAUUUAUUUCAUUCAAUAGAUGUCGGUGAAAUGUGAUUAAAUCUUUUAAAAUUAAAUGGAUGUAUUUGGAAUACACGAGAGAAAUGCUCUAGCUUAAGCAAUUCUGAAGUGAAUCCUUUGGUAAAGCAGACUCUUAUUUAAAUUGAAUAGCCACUUAGCUCCUUAGCAAAUCUGAAUUUUUAUGUAGAGUGCUUUGCUUAAGAUAGAGAGACUGAGGAUCUGGCUUGGAAAGACAACCACUGAGAAGGUGAUGGGUCUGCAGCUUGCAGAAAAAGGCAUAACAGCCCUCAGUCUAUCCCACUCCCACCUAGAUGUCAGUGGAGAAUUUUCCUUCAUCUGGACCCUUUGGGUGGCUUGUCCCCUUUAAGGAUGCCUGAGUGUUUAUUCUAGCAUGAGUCCACUUGUAGGGUAGGGGUUGUUGUUGUUAUUUUUUUGGUAGGAUUGUUACGGAAACUGGUCUGGAUCACCCGGCAGAAGAACCAAGCGGCACUCGGAGAUCUUGGAAGGCAGGAGGUUUAUUUUACACUGGCAGGCUCAGAGGAGAUCAUUCUCCGGAGGUCUGAGCCCAGAGCAUCAACAGAGGGGACAAUUUAUAGUCCCCUCGAGGGGACUUCUGCAUCCCUCAAGGGUAGUAAUUUGGCGCCUGAGGCAAGCAGGGUGGGAAGAACCGGAAGGGAGGUCUUCAGGCAGGGACUGAAAUUCCCUUAUCAGUCCCGUCUGCCGUCAUAUAACAGAUUUUUCCCUAACAGGACGAGGAGGGGACAAAUCAGAGUGACAGAG